This 400-nucleotide ribosomal RNA is filed under the name uncultured bacterium. Its description in RNAcentral is "bacterial SSU rRNA". It matches the Rfam family "Bacterial small subunit ribosomal RNA", at positions 338 to 736 of the family's 1533-position model. The record is from RNAcentral.
CCUACGGGUGGCAGCAGUGAGGAAUAUUGGUCAAUGGGCGCGAGCCUGAACCAGCCAAGUCGCGUGAGGGAAGACGGUCCUAUGGAUUGUAAACCUCUUUUGUCAGGGAGCAAAGGACGCCACGUGUGGUGUUUUGCGAGUACCUGAAGAAAAAGCAUCGGCUAACUCCGUGCCAGCAGCCGCGGUAAUACGGAGGAUGCGAGCGUUAUCCGGAUUUAUUGGGUUUAAAGGGUGCGCAGGCGGGCUGUUAAGCCGGCGGUAAAAAUUCAGGGCUCAACCCUGUCGAGCCGUCGGAACUGGCAGCCUUGAGUGGGCGAGAAGUAUGCGGAAUGCGUGGUGUAGCGGUGAAAUGCAUAGAUAUCACGCAGAACGCCGAUUGCGAAGGCAGCAUACCGGCGCC